Molecule: ribosomal RNA, 1296 nt
Filed under: Winthemia capensis
Lineage: Eukaryota; Metazoa; Arthropoda; Insecta; Diptera; Tachinidae
Description: eukaryotic LSU rRNA
Rfam family: Eukaryotic large subunit ribosomal RNA
Source: RNAcentral
CACUUUGUCUUUAUGGCAAAUGUGAGAUGCAGUGUAUGGAAUGUCAAAUUUCUAGUAUGAGAAAUUAACGAUUUAAGUCCUUCUUAAAUGAGGCCAUUUACCCACAGAGGGUGCCAGGCCCGUAUAACGUUAAUGAUUACUAGAUGACAUUUCCAAAGAGUCGUGUUGCUUGAUAGUGCAGCACUAAGUGGGUGGUAAACUCCAUCUAAAACUAAAUAUAACCAUGAGACCGAUAGUAAACAAGUACCGUGAGGGAAAGUUGAAAAGAACUCUGAAUAGAGAGUUAAAUAGUACGUGAAACUGCUUAGAGGUUAAGCCCGAUGAACCUGAAUAUCCAUUAUAGAAAAUUCAUCAUUAUGAUUUUAAUAUUUGUAAUAUUAUAAUAAUGUUGUGCACUUUUUCUAUAGAGGACAUUGUAAUCUAUUAACAUAAAAUUAAAUUUAUCAUAAGAUCAAUAUGCGUAAGUUUAUUCACAUUAUUUUGCUUGCAAUUUAACAUAGAAUAAAUGCUGUUGAUUUGAUAAAGUGUUGAUAGAUUUAUAACAUAUAGUGCUUAAAUAUUUAUAUUUUAUAGUAGCAUAUUAAUUUUUAAUUUUUAUGUUUACUAUAUGCACUUAUAUGAUUAACAAUGCGAAAGAUUCAGGAUACCUUCGGGACCCGUCUUGAAACACGGACCAAGGAGUCUAACAUAUUUGCAAGUUAUUGGGAAUAAAAACCUAAUAGCGAAAUUAACAUAACUUAAAAUAUAAUGGGAUUAGUUUUUAGCCUAUUUAUAGUCUAUUAAUUCAAUCCCGGGGCGUUCUAUAUAGUUAUGUAUAAUAAUAUUUAUAUUAUUUAUACCUCUAACUAGAACGUACCUUGAGCAUAUAUGCUGUGACCCGAAAGAUGGUGAACUAUACUUGAUCAGGUUGAAGUCAGGGGAAACCCUGAUGGAAGACCGAAACAGUUCUGACGUGCAAAUCGAUUGUCAGAAUUGAGUAUAGGGGCGAAAGACCAAUCGAACCAUCUAGUAGCUGGUUCCCUCCGAAGUUUCCCUCAGGAUAGCUGGUGCAUUUAAAAAUUAUGUAAAAUAAUCUUAUCUGGUAAAGCGAAUGAUUAGAGGCCUUAGGGUCGAAACGAUCUUAACCUAUUCUCAAACUUUAAAUGGGUAAGAACCUCACCUUUCUUGGUAUGAAGGUAGUGGUUGUGAUAUAAUGUGCCCAGUGGGCCACUUUUGGUAAGCAGAACUGGCGCUGUGGGAUGAACCAAACGUAAUGUUACGGUGCCAAAAUUAACAACUCAUGCAGAUACCAUGAAA